RNAcentral lists this ribosomal RNA (322 nucleotides) under Bodianus diana (Diana's hogfish). RNAcentral's name for it is "partial 12S ribosomal RNA". It matches the Rfam family "Bacterial small subunit ribosomal RNA", at positions 955 to 1444 of the family's 1533-position model. The record is from RNAcentral. Lineage: Eukaryota; Metazoa; Chordata; Actinopteri; Labriformes; Labridae.
UAAUCCCCGUUAAACCUCACCCCUCCUUGUUUUUCCCGCCUAUAUACCGCCGUCGUCAGCUUACCCUGUGAAGGCCCAAUAGUAAGCACAAUUGGCACAGCCCAAAACGCCAGGUCGAGGUGUAGCGUAUGGAGGGGGAAGAAAUGGGCUACAUUCAGUGAAUCACUGAACACGGAAGGCGGGCUGAAACGCCCGCCCGAAGGAGGAUUUAGCAGUAAGUGGGAAAUAGAGCGUCCCACUGAAACUGGCCCUGAAGCGCGUACACACCGCCCGUCACUCUCCCCGAAACAAAGCUAUACGCAUACAUAAAACCUAAUCAUCA